Molecule: non-coding RNA, 25 nt
Filed under: Mus musculus (house mouse)
Lineage: Eukaryota; Metazoa; Chordata; Mammalia; Rodentia; Muridae
Source: RNAcentral
UUGUUGCCUGCUUGUAAUCUCCUGG